This is a long non-coding RNA of Pantherophis guttatus, 1095 nucleotides long. RefSeq lists it as uncharacterized. The record is from RefSeq and is a predicted model, not a curated record. Lineage: Eukaryota; Metazoa; Chordata; Lepidosauria; Squamata; Colubridae.
GUGUUGCAGAUGAUGGUCCAUUGACAAAGAUUGAGUUUCUGCCUCUGGCCCAUUGACAAAGAGUGGAGUCAGGAAGAUGGGAGCUGUUUCGUCUUUAAAACUUGCUGUUCCAUUUCUCAUCCAGGGAAACAUAAUAUUCUGCCUUUUUAAUAUUUCCCAAAAUAUUUCAUUCCUCUAGGAAAGGGGUGGGUACUAACUUCCUACAUGGGGAACUACUGUACUGUAUUUAUUAGUAAAGAAUUUGAAUGUGUUUUUGCAAUACAGACAGAUUACUUUCAGAUUUUAUUUUGCUCUCACUAUGUCAAUGGUUUAACUUUCAUCUCUACAAUUAUAAAUUCUAAUUUAUUAACAAACUAAGGCUUUGAGGAAAUGUCUUGAAACUGAUAAUUCUCUAAUUCAAUUUCCUCUAAUGUGUUUGUACUAAUCUUCUAAAGAAACUCUUGAGUUGGAAAUCCAUCUUUACUGUAUAAGAUACAAUUCUGAUUGGUGUAUUUAUAUAUGCUUUAUGGAGAUUCUCAAUCAUCCAGGUUAUGGUUGUCCCAAAGGUGCUUUUUUUCCCUAAAAGGUAACUGAACUUUGUUUGUUUUUUCUUUGAAAGCAUUUUGCUUCUCAUUGAAGAAGUUUCUUCAGUUCUAAUUGAAAGGUGGAGAAUGGAAGAAUUCAUAAUAUUUGCAGUUAUCCGAUCAUUAGCUCUCUGAGAGUCAGUUGAGACCACUUGGGGUUUAUCUGUGCCCUCAAGGUCAUCUGAAUCAGAGUACAAAUGGGUGAGGAACCUUCUUGGGACUGCUGUAAGGACUGUAUUGUAGACAAGAGAAAAAUACAGUGAUGUGAAAUUUGCUGUCUCCCUUGCCAGUUCCAAUUCUGCCUCUGUUGCUGGCCUUCUCGCAUAAGUAAUGAAUGACAGCUAAUGGAUUUUAUACACCUUCAAGCUGCUUUGGACAGCGUCCAAAUAAGGGAGGAAGGGAAAUGUUACUUUAAAAUUGGACUAACUAAGGAUGACUUAAGUUAUUUCAUUCACAGGUUUUUUAUAUGCAAGUUCAACACUGAGCCAAAGGAGAUCCCAUACCUCUCCUUAGAAAAACUGUCCGAAUGUCU